GACGAACGCUGGCGGCGUGCCUAAUACAUGCAAGUAGAACGCACAGUUUAUACCGUAGCUUGCUACACCAUAGACUGUGAGUUGCGAACGGGUGAGUAACGCGUAGGUAACCUGCCUGGUAGCGGGGGAUAACUAUUGGAAACGAUAGCUAAUACCGCAUAAUAUUGAUUAUUGCAUGAUAAUUGAUUGAAAGAUGCUAUUGCAUCACUACCAGAUGGACCUGCGUUGUAUUAGCUAGUAGGUGAGGUAACGGCUCACCUAGGCGACGAUACAUAGCCGACCUGAGAGGGUGAUCGGCCACACUGGGACUGAGACACGGCCCAGACUCCUACGGGUGGCAGCAGUAGGGAAUCUUCGGCAAUGGACGAAAGUCUGACCGAGCAACGCCGCGUGAGUGAAGAAGGUUGUCGGAUCGUAAAGCUCUGUUGUAAGAGAAGAACGGGUGUGAGAGUGGAAAGUUCACACUGUGACGGUAUCUUACCAGAAAGGGACGGCUAACUACGUG
RNAcentral lists this ribosomal RNA (505 nucleotides) under uncultured bacterium. Its description in RNAcentral is "partial 16S ribosomal RNA". It matches the Rfam family "Bacterial small subunit ribosomal RNA", at positions 28 to 507 of the family's 1533-position model. The record is from RNAcentral.